This 425-nucleotide ribosomal RNA is filed under the name uncultured bacterium. RNAcentral describes it as "partial 16S ribosomal RNA". It matches the Rfam family "Bacterial small subunit ribosomal RNA", at positions 354 to 796 of the family's 1533-position model. The record is from RNAcentral.
GUGGGGAAUAUUGGACAAUGGGCGAAAGCCUGAUCCAGCCAUGCCGCGUGAACGAUGAAGGCCUUCGGGUUGUAAAGUUCUUUAGCCGAUGAUUAUAAUGACUGUAGUCGGAAAAUAAGCCCCGGCUAACUUCGUGCCAGCAGCCGCGGUAAUACGAAGGGGGCGAGCGUUAUUCGGAAUCACUGGGCGUAAAGCGUGCGUAGGCGGUUUUGUAAGUUAGGAGUGAAAGCCCAGGGCUCAACCUUGGAAUUGCUCUUAAAACUGCAAGGCUCGAAUCUCGGAGAGGAUAGCGGAAUUUCCAGUGUAGCAGUGAAAUGCGUAGAUAUUGGAAGGAACACCAGUGGCGUAAGCGGCUAUCUGGACGAGUAUUGACGCUGAGGCACGAAAGCGUGGGGAUCAAACAGGAUUAGAAACCCCGGUAGUCC